This 500-nucleotide ribosomal RNA is filed under the name uncultured bacterium. Its description in RNAcentral is "bacterial SSU rRNA". It matches the Rfam family "Bacterial small subunit ribosomal RNA", at positions 28 to 507 of the family's 1533-position model. The record is from RNAcentral.
GACGAACGCUGGCGGCGUGCCUAAUACAUGCAAGUCGAGCGGAAUGAAGAAGAAGCUUGCUUCUUCUGAUUUUAGCGGCGGACGGGUGAGUAACACGUGGGCAACCUACCUUGUAGAUUGGGAUAACUCCGGGAAACCGGGGCUAAUACCGAAUAAUCCAUUUUGCUUCAUGGCGAGAUGUUAAAAGGCGGCUUCGGCUGUCACUACGAGAUGGGCCCGCGGCGCAUUAGCUAAUUGGUAGGGUAAUGGCCUACCAAGGCGACGAUGCGUAGCCGACCUGAGAGGGUGAUCGGCCACACUGGGACUGAGACACGGCCCAGACUCCUACGGGAGGCAGCAGUAGGGAAUCUUCCACAAUGGACGAAAGUCUGAUGGAGCAACGCCGCGUGAGUGAAGAAGGUUUUCGGAUCGUAAAACUCUGUUGUAAGGGAAGAACACGUACGAGAGUAACUGCUCGUACCUUGACGGUACCUUAUUAGAAAGCCACGGCUAACUACGUG